CUUUUUGUUCGUGGAAUUGCCUGAAGUUUCAUUAACAAUCCGUCAAGAUUAUUUGCUUGAUGUGAACAUUUUUUGAUCCCACUAUUACUCUUGUGCUUAAGUAACCAAUAUAAGAUGGUGUUGGAAAUCCAAGUCAUAAAUGAAUUAGAGUUGAAUUAAAUAGGAAGUUUAAAUAGAAUUUAUUUAGGAAGAAAAUUAAAAAAAAAG
RNAcentral lists this unclassified non-coding RNA (207 nucleotides) under Hevea brasiliensis (rubber tree). Lineage: Eukaryota; Viridiplantae; Streptophyta; Magnoliopsida; Malpighiales; Euphorbiaceae. The record is from RNAcentral.